CGCCCCAGGCCCGAGCGAGGCGCCGCGGGAGGAAUUCCAGCCAUUUCCUCUGCGCCGCGCGGUAUGUGGCCUGCUCGCUGCCCGACCGCAGCGCGCCCGGGAGGUUGGGGCCGGGCGGCGCGGGCCAGUCACCAGCCGCGUCUGGCAGCUGCCCGGGCCCCGCUGUCCCGCUCAGGAUUCCCGGCCAGCCGCCCCUGUCCCGGGCCACCAAACCAGCCGUUCCAACAGCCCGGGCCUGCGCGACGCCCCCGGUUCCGUUCCUCUCCUCUCCUCUCCCCGCCCCGCGGGGCCGCUCUCUCGCCUUCUGUGUUUCCCCGCUGCGCCCCCUCCCAGCCCGCCGCCGGCCCUCUGGAGUCCCCAGAAUCUGAGUUUGAAACUGAAGUUGGCACCUGCUGCGUCACCUUCGGCCAGAGUCCCAAGGCCAAGAACAGCCCUUGCAGCAAGAUGUGCGCCCCUCAUUCCUCACAAACGCUACAGCCACAGACCGCAUAAAUCCAGAUGAGGAAGCCGGUACCCAGCUGGCAGAAGAGAGGUUUGAACUCAGGGAUCUGACUCCACUGGUCAUGACUUGAACUUCUGCUGGGGGAUAAUCAAUUCUGAUGGCCUUUCUGACCAUCAGUGGAAACAAGUCCACCGCAGUCUUUAACUGCCUUUAACAGCAAAGAAGACAUUCCUGCAACACUCACCUGCACCUAGCAGAUCUGAGUGCAACCUCAUUAAACUGAGUGGCCUCAGGGGACCAACUCCAAGACCCCAGUGAAUGGAGGAACAAACUGUCCAUAGAAAUAAGAUUCUAAAUGGACUGGAUAUAAGUCACCAAUGUCAGGGUCAGCCCUGGACCAGCCCUUCCUGUGUGAUUUCAGGACCACAUGGAGGCCCAAGUGGCCUUUUUACUAAAAAUCAACCGUUAAAGAAUCAGAUGUGUGUUUAUAUAGGUCACUGGUAACUCACUUUGGACCACUGGCCCAAGACAUAUUUUGUCUGACUUUCAUAGCUUUUUUUUUUUUAUUUGAGAGAGACAGAGACAGCAUGAGUGGGGGAAGGGCAGAGAGAGAGAGAGAGAGAGAGAGAGAGAGAGAGAGAGAGAAGAGAGAGAGAGAGAGAGAGAGAGAGAGAGAGAGAGAGAAUCCCAAGCAGGCUCCAAACUGCCAGCACAGAGCCCAACUCUGGGCUCAAACUCAUGAAACCAAGAGUUGGACACUCAACCAAUGGAGCCACCCAGCUGCCCCAUCCUAGUAUUUUUAUUUAAGUUAACUACCAAACAUUUAAAAUUGGAAGGUUGGGGCGCCUGGGUGGCGCAGUCGGUUAAGCGUCCGACUUCAGCCAGGUCACGAUCUCGCGGUCCGGGAGUUCGAGCCCCGCAUCGGGCUCUGGGCUGAUGGCUCAGAGCCUGGAACCUGUUUCCGAUUCUGUGUCUCCCUGUCUCUCUGCCCCUCCCCCGUUCAUGCUCUGUCUCUCUCUGUCCCAAAAAUAAAUAAAUGUUGAAAAAAAAAUUUUUAAAAAUA
RNAcentral lists this long non-coding RNA (1505 nucleotides) under Felis catus (domestic cat). RNAcentral's name for it is "lncRNA (ENSFCAG00000040953.2)". Lineage: Eukaryota; Metazoa; Chordata; Mammalia; Carnivora; Felidae. The record is from RNAcentral.